UGAAGUUCUCACGCAGCAUGACAGUGACAAUGCGCCACUUUCAUUCUUCAAUUACAAAACCUCAUUUAAAAGUUUCAUGCCUUCCAAGGCCCUUCUGACCUCAUCUCUAGUUAUAGAAGGAGUCUCUGCAACCUGUUCAUUAUUGUUCCGUGUGGAGAUGUCCUGACUCCUCUGGGUACUGCACAGCCCCGUCAAAAUGUGGCUGCUCUGACCAGGAUCAAACCCGCAACCUUGAGAAAUGCCAUAGCCGCAGAGCUACCGUGGUUCCAACCCUGUCCAUCUCAGGAGGAUAUAUCCGGACGUCUACUCAGAUGAUAACUGCAAGCUAUGCAGCAGGGCUCACGCAACUCUUAGACACAUUCUCUGGGAAUGUGACAUUAUAUGCGAAGAAAAUGCAGUUUCCCCAGAUGAAGCUGCGGCGCGAUGGACGGCCGCGUUGCGCAGCUCAAACCUCGGAAAUCAACUAUGGGCCAUCCAGCAAGCCCGUGAGGCGGCGAGGAGACAGGAUCUCCGGACCUCCUCGGGGGUGGCCUAGGCCCAGGCCACGAAUUUGCCGGAUUGUUAAUAAAGUUGUUACCACCA
Dermacentor albipictus is the source of this 582-nucleotide long non-coding RNA. RefSeq lists it as uncharacterized. The record is from RefSeq and is a predicted model, not a curated record. Lineage: Eukaryota; Metazoa; Arthropoda; Arachnida; Ixodida; Ixodidae.